RNAcentral lists this ribosomal RNA (661 nucleotides) under uncultured cyanobacterium. RNAcentral describes it as "bacterial SSU rRNA". It matches the Rfam family "Bacterial small subunit ribosomal RNA", at positions 99 to 794 of the family's 1533-position model. The record is from RNAcentral. Lineage: Bacteria; Bacillati; Cyanobacteriota.
CGGACGGGUGAGUAACGCGUGAGAAUCUGCCUCCAGGUCGGGGACAACAGCGGGAAACUGCUGCUAAUCCCGGAUAAGCCCUAGGGUAAAAGAUUUAUUGCCUGGAGAGGAGCUCGCGUCCGAUUAGCUAGAUGGUGAGGUAAGAGCUCGCCAUGGCGACGAUCGGUAGCUGUUCUGAGAGGAAGAUCAGCCACACUGGGACUGAGACACGGCCCAGACUCCUACGGGAGGCAGCAGUGGGGAAUUUUCCGCAAUGGGCGAAAGCCUGACGGAGCAAGACCGCGUGCGGGAAGAAGGCCCUUGGGUCGUAAACCGCUUUUCUUAGGGAAGAAGCUCUGACGGUACCUAAGGAAUCAGCCUCGGCUAACUCCGUGCCAGCAGCCGCGGUAAUACGGAGGAGGCAAGCGUUAUCCGGAAUUAUUGGGCGUAAAGCGUCCGCAGGCGGCUUAUCAAGUCUGCUGUCAAAGACUGGGGCUCAACCCUGGGGAGGCAGUGGAAACUGAGAAGCUAGAGUGCAGUAGGGGUAGAGGGAAUUCCCAGUGUAGCGGUGAAAUGCGUAGAGAUUGGGAAGAACACCGGUGGCGAAAGCGCUCUACUGGGCUGUAACUGACGCUGAGGGACGAAAGCUAGGGGAGCGAAAGGGAUUAGAUACCCCUGUAGU